RNAcentral lists this non-coding RNA (106 nucleotides) under Palpitomonas bilix. The record is from RNAcentral.
CUCUCUUUCCCACUCGAGCUUCCACCCCUUUCCCCGCUGCUGCAUCUCUCUUCGUCUGCCUCUCGCUCACUCGCUCCCUUUCCACAGCGGACACGAAAAGGAACAC